CACAAACAAGACAGAGAGCGGUGGAGGCGGAACAACAUGUCAGCGAUGAUCGUUCACUGUCAAAGGGAAUCCAUCGCAGCGACGGCGAACUUUAUAGAAUGUGCGGAGGGUUUUUUCCUAACUCCUGAUCCCCCACUCCAAUCCAGUGGGUGGUGGUAAUGCAGCUCUAAGCUGGUUUGGUUAGCCGCAAACCCACAAGAAGAAGAAGACGACGGAGCACUAUAUAAAGAAUAUGCUCUCUAAAUUGAGAAGUACUUUGGGAAGAGAGCCAGCCUUGGGACCAAGAGGAAGCCACCUCUCCAAAAGCCAACCCACAACUCACCCUGAAGAAGCCUCUUCUUAACAAGCUAUCUCAAAUGAUGAUGUUGUCAUCGGUGAGGGACUGAAGGUCAGCAAGACAAAACUACAAAGGUGCAAUCACCAAAACCCCACCAAGCUGGUGUGUGACCUGUUUAGCAUUACAUUUACUCGGAAACAGAUGGCCACUUCAUCCCUUACUGGCCAAAAAGGGAGUGCCAAGGAAAAUGUUAAGCCACCCCUGGAGCCCACAUCUGUCAAUGCUAUUUUUGAUUACACUCUGCAGAAAUUUCCAGACGCAAAUAUAAAACUGCUGAGGGGAGCCGCCAGAAACAAACUAAACAAUGAAAACAAGAAUUUCAAACAUAUGCGAGUUGGAGCUGGACCUGCCGUUCCAGGACAUGAAGACAGAACUUAGAACUUAAAAGAAAAAAAAGGAAGACUGAAUUACAUUUAUUAAUAAAAAUAAAAAUUGUAUAAAGAUUUAAUGAUUCUCCUGUUUUUGAUUAUUCUCAUGUCGCUUUUUUGGUAGGUAGAUGGAAGUAUGAAGUAGGAUUUUUAAUUACAUUUGCUAUUGCAUUAGGAUUAGCCUAUUCAUUGUUUGAUGUAUGCAUUAUUGCACUAUAGUUUUGUGAGAGAGAUGCGUUUCUAAAAACCAUGGUAAAGUCAUGGUUUGGAAAAACCAUGGUUCUCACCAUGGUUUAUUGCUAUGGUUUUAUCAUGGUUUAACUAUAGCAAAAUCAUGAUAAAAUCAUAGUAAUAAACCAUGGUUUUACUAAGGUUAUUUAACCAUAGUAAAACCAUGGUUAAUGUUCGUAAACACACAAACACUAACAUCGGGUGAAUUCCACCCAUAAAAUAUUGUAGCGAUUCUCUUAGUUAGAGAGCGUGUUGAUGUUGUGGGAUUUCGGACUGUUCGGGAGGUUCGUGAAGGCAGCAUGGAGAGAGAGAAAAG
This is a long non-coding RNA of Archocentrus centrarchus (flier cichlid), 1252 nucleotides long. RefSeq lists it as uncharacterized. Lineage: Eukaryota; Metazoa; Chordata; Actinopteri; Cichliformes; Cichlidae. The transcript is spliced from 5 exons. The record is from RefSeq and is a predicted model, not a curated record.